AUCCAACUGACGAGUCCCAAAUAGGACGAGAUGCGCGUCAAACUUGAU
Molecule: non-coding RNA, 48 nt
Filed under: Schistosoma mansoni
Lineage: Eukaryota; Metazoa; Platyhelminthes; Trematoda; Strigeidida; Schistosomatidae
Source: RNAcentral